AAUGCAGAUAAGGAAGAUUAUAGUAAUGCACAAAUGUACUCGCCGUUACGUUUUGCAUAGUGUACAGAGACUUCAAAGGGGUUUGAGGUUUCAAAGAGAAAACAUGGUUGUUAUUGCUGAGUCUGUUCUUUAAAUCAUUUUCACUCAAAAGCAAAUCACAGACUAAAGUUUAUCGUAAAAGUUCAGAUUUCAAAGAACGUAAAAAUGGAGAUGUCUAAAUCCUUGGAAGCGGACUUGAAAUCAUUGGCUCUGUCAAAUGACACUAAAGUGCCACUGCCUGCGAAAUGGAAAACCACAUUCAGUUCUGCUGAGAGGAGAAACAUUGAUGCAACGACUGAUGGAUUAUUCCUAUUCCUUCGUCCAAAACCCAAUGGCGCCACCAAGGAGAUUACCCAGGAAGUUGGGUACAGUGGCUUAGAAAAUCAAGGAGCAACCAGCUACCUGAACUCAGCUUUGCAGGUCCUCUUUAUGACCAAAGAAUUCAGAGAGGCAGUAGAAAGGUUGCAGAUUACACCAAAUGAUGAUGAGGUACUUUACCAACUGCAACAACUAUUUGAAAAUCUAAAAGCUGAUUACAAAUGUGU
Molecule: long non-coding RNA, 584 nt
Organism: Clupea harengus (Atlantic herring)
Lineage: Eukaryota; Metazoa; Chordata; Actinopteri; Clupeiformes; Clupeidae
Source: Ensembl